Molecule: long non-coding RNA, 5122 nt
Filed under: Gossypium barbadense (sea-island cotton)
Lineage: Eukaryota; Viridiplantae; Streptophyta; Magnoliopsida; Malvales; Malvaceae
Description: long non-coding RNA (GBAR_LNC018635)
Source: RNAcentral
UCAUAAUUGAAUGACACGUGGGCUAAUGAUGAGCAAACAGAGAAUAUUGGCGCACACUCUCAGAUGAGGAUUUUUCUACAAAUAAUGGCAUGGGCAGAGAAUGGGGGGAGAGUUUUUUCUGUUAUGAAUAUUGUUAUUCUUUCUCUCAUCUUAUUCUCUCUGGGUUAUUUUCUUCUUUUUUUUUUUAUUUUUUUAUGAAAGUAACAGCACUUUUCCUUCCUUGACACAGAAUAUACUCAAUUUUUACCUUCAACAUUGUCAUUUGAGAAUUUAUAUUUCUCCAAGUACCUAACAUUGGUGCUUUCAUUGAGUCUCUACAAAUAUGGUAGAGCAUUAGACUCGGCUUCACGUUUUAGACGACAACAUCAAAUCAUUGACCGGGUCCCAAAGUUCGCUUUCAGAUUCCUAGAAUGCUCUCCGUUGGGACUUUGAUCUCCUGGAUACCUCUUUCGAUGAGCAAAAGGCCUUGCUCCGUGAAUUGGUCAGUCAACGCACUUCUUCUCAGUCUUCAAGCCCUGCACCUUCUCUAUUUUCGGCUUCUCAAAAUCCGUUGGGACAACAUAAACCAGCAUCCGUACAGCUGGCUCGAUUUUCCGGUAUCAACCCGGACCGUUGGCUUAUGCAAGCUGAUCGCUACUUCACUUUUUACAAUAUCAGAGAUGAGGACCGCGUCACUAUCACCUCAUUUUACUUCGACGAGGCUGCUUCCGAUUGGUAUGAUUGGAUGUUUCGCAACCGUCAGCUUGCUGGUUGGCACGCGUUCUCAGCAUCGCUCCUCGCCCAUUUCCGUUCUCGCGAUUUUGAAGAACCAGAAGGCCUUCUCACUAAAUUGCAUCAAACAACUUCGGUGGAUGCCUAUCGCUCUGAGUUUGAGGUAGUUACUAAUCGUGCUAUCUAUUUGCCGGCCCACUUCCUGGUCCAGUGUUUUAUUUUUGGGCUACGAUCUGACAUCAAGCAUUCCGUGCUCAUCCAUCGGCCCACCACAUUGGAUGACGCUAUGCAACUGGCCCAACUUCAUGAGAGACGUAUUAUCCUAGAGAAAUCCCCUGCUAGACCCGUUCCAACCCUCGACACCACUAAGCCUCUCCUUCCCACACCUUCCUUUAACCCCAAAGUUCACCCCACCGCCUCGCAACCUCCUACAACCCAAUCUACAGCCACUUUACCCAUUCGUCGUCUUACCCCGUCGGGGGUCGCCCAACGCCGAUCCAAAGGCUUGUGCUAUCACUGUGAUGAGAAAUAUUCCUGGGACCAUAAAUGCAAGUCUAAACCUCAACUUUUACUGCUUGAAAAUGAUUCGGAGCCCACUGAAGUUAACAACCCUUUGUUGCUUCCUCCUCCUCACGGUCCCGAUCUUGAAUUAUCUUCCGUAGAUCCAUCUUCUCUCUUGCAGUCAGCUAUAUCGUACAAUGCCCUGGCUGGGGGCUACUCUGUUUCGACACUCAGGUUUCAAGGAACAGUGUUUGGGAAACCAAGUGUUAUUAGAUGGCGGUAGCACUCAUAACUUCGUUCAGACACGCGUCGCCUCUUAUUUAAAUUUGACAGUUACUACCACUCCCAGCUUUUCUAUUUUGGUAGGUAGUGGUGAACGCCUCCCUUGCGAUGGCAUCGUUCGACAACUCCCUGUGGUUAUCCAAAAUCAAGAAAUCCUCGUUGAUUUCUUCGUUCUUCCUAUUCAAGGAUGGGACAUGGUAUUGGGAGUAGAGUGGUUAGCGACGUUGGGACCAAUACUUACUGAUUACUCUUCAUCAAUUUUUGAGUUCUCUUAUGCCGGCCAGAAGGUUCGAUGGACGGGAGAUGGGGCUCCCGCUGUUUAACCUAUACAGUUCAAUGGGCUUCGCUGCUUGACUCACAAUAAUUCUGUGGCUGAAUUUUUCAGGUUAGAUCUCGUUUCUGAGCCUAAUUCUCUAUCUGAAAUUGUGGUCCCUGAAAUUGAGGCCUUAUUGACUGAGUUUGUUGACGUGUUUUCCAAACCAAUGGGAUUACCUCCGAUACGAGACUGUGAUCACACGAUUCAUCUAGCCCCAAAUUAUGGUCCGGUGAACGUUAAGCCAUAUCGAUAUCCACAUUUUGAAAAACGGGAAAUUGAGCGGUUGGUUUCAGAAAUACUGGCUGAUGGUAUCAUCCAACCAAGUACAAGUCCUUUUUCCUCACCAGUGUUGUUGGUACGCAAGAAAGAUGGCUCGUGGCGCUUUUGUGUUGAUUACCGUGCCCUCAAUGCUAUGACUAUCAAAGACCGAUUUCUGAUUUCGUCCAUCGAUGAAUUAUUCGAUGAACUUCAUUGGGCUAUGUAUUUCUCCAAACUCGAUUUGUUGGCUGGAUUCCAUCAAAUUUGAGUUAAGGCCGGGGAUGAAAGCAAGACUGCCUUUAGGACUCAUGACGGGCAUUAUGAGUUCCUCGUCAUGCCGUUUGGGCUCACAAACUCGCCAUCUACAUUUCAAAGUCUUAUGAAUUCAGUUUUUCGUCCGUACCUCCGCAAGUUUGUGUUGGUUUUCUUUGACAACAUUUUGAUCUAUAGUCCGGAUUGGGAAACCCAUUUAGAACAUAUCCGGGUUGUUUUUCAUCUCCUCCGCGAACACCAGUUAGUGGCGAAACGUUCUAAAUGUCUAUUUGGUCAUACAAGCAUUGGGUAUUUAGGACAUAUUGUUUCUCGGUAAGGAGUUCAGGUGGAUCCUGAUAAAAUUCAAGCCAUCCAAUCAUGGCCUAUUCCCCGCACCGUCAAGGCUGUCCGUGGUUUUCUCGGCUUGGCCGGGUAUUACCGCCGCUUUAUCCGUCACUUUGCGGCCAUUACCUGUCCCUUGACUGACCUACUGCGAACAGAUGCCUUCCAAUGGACUCCCUUAGCCCACACGGCCUUUGAGCAUUUAAAACAGCUACUUAGUGAAGCUCCUAUUCUUGCAUUACCUGAUUUCAGCAAACCAUUUGUGGUGAAAAUAGAUGCUUCGGGUACUGGCAUCGGUGCCAUCCUUUCACAAGGUGGUCACCCUAUUGCAUAUUACAGCCACCAACUCAGCCCUCGAUUGCAACAAUCCUCCACAUAGCAAAGGGAGAUGUAUGCUAUUACGCAAGCCAUUUCUAAAUGGCGGUAGUGUCUUUUGGGUAAUCGAUUUACGAUUAUUACUGAUCAGCAAUCAUUAAAGAGUCUUACCUCUCAAGUAAUUCAAACACCGGAUUAACAGAAGUGGUUGGGCAAAUUGAUUGGCUAUGACUUCGACAUCGUUUACCGUCCAGGCCGAAUCAACACCGCAGCAGAUGCCUUGUCCAGAAUUCCUGCUACCCAAUUAUUGGCCCUUUCUCAUGUUCAGUUUUCUAUAGUUGAUUAGUUCUGAGAGGCCAAUGCUGUGCAUCUUGAGUUGCUUGCUUUGCAGCAACAUCUAGCCACUGAUCCAACUUCUCUACCGGGAUUUUUGUUCAAAGACAAGCUACUGUUCUUUAACUCUCGACUGGUGCUACCUUCUGAUUCCCCUCUUUGCACUAGUCUAUUAACGGAGUUCCAUUCGCCCCCUGUUGGCGGCCACUCAGGCAUCACCCGUACGUUUCAUCGCCUUACUACAAAUUUUUAUUGAAAGAAUAUGCGUCGAGAUGUCACCCAAUUCGUUCGCUAUUGCCAGAUUUGUCAACAGAUGAAGUCUGCUACAGUUUCUCCAGCUGGCCUCCUUCAACCUCUUCCAAUUCCGAUUUUGGUAUUUGAAAAUAUUUCCAUGGACUUUAUCACUGGGCUCCCACCUUCAAAGGGGAAAACCGUGGUUAUGGUGGUCGUUGAUCGACUUUCAAAAUAUGGGCAUUUUGUAGGUCUGCCAACUCAUUUUUCCAGUCAAAUAGUUUCUUCUGCCUUUGUGCAAGAAGUAGUGAGGUUACACGGCAUUCCUACGGAGAUUGUCUCGGACCGUGAUCCUCAUCUCUUCAGUAACUUCUGGAAAGAAGUACAUAGGCUCCAAGGCACGACACUAAGUAUGAGCACCGCAUACCACCUACAGACUGACGGCCAAACAGAGGCUCUCAACCGAUGCUUGGAAAUGUAUUUGUGUUGCUAUGCCUCGGACCACCCUACCUCUUGGAUGUUAUUUUUACCUUGGGCCGAAUAUUGGUACAACACCUCAUACCAAACGGCUGCGCAAAUGAUACCUUUUGAAGUGUUGUAUGGUCGCCCUCCACCUACAAUAGCACGGUAUGUUAAGGAUGACAGCGGUCACCCUCUCGUUGAUGCUCAGUUACUCGAACGAGACCAUGUUUUACAACUGCUCAAAAUAAAUUUAGCCCAAGCUCAGGCUCGGAUGAAGUUCUAUGCUGAUAAACAUCACCGAGAUAUCAGUUUCAAUGUCGGGGACUGGUUAUAUGUUAAAUUGCAACCUUAUCGACAAUCUUCUAUACGGUUGCAGCGCCAUUCAAAGCUCGGUCGCAGAUAUUUUGGUCCAUAUCAGGUCCUCAAACGUGUUGGUCCAGUCGCAUAUGAGCUCGAUCUGCCUUCUACGGCUCGUAUCCAUCCCGUAUUUCAUGUGUCUAUGCUCAAGAAAUGCCUCGGACACCCUGACCAGCAAGUUACUCCUUUGGAUUUGGUCGAUUCCACCAGCUCUAUUAACUUGUACCCCAUUGUAGUCUUAGAUCGUAGGCAAGUACAACGAGGGUCUGCCACCGUAAAACAAUGCUUAAUCCAAUGGAAUGGCCCUACCAUUGACGAUGCUACUUGGGAAGAUAACGAGAAACUGCACCAGCUUUACCCUGCUUUCCACCUUGAGGACAAGGUUCAUCUCGAUGAGGAGGGUAUUGUUCUGAACCCAAAUGCUGCUGAGGGCCCUGCUGGAGAGUACACAGCCCAAAGGAACCAAGAGUUGAGAAGAAGCUCACGCAAGAGGUAUUUGCCUAGGCAAUAUGCUGACUUCAUAACUGAAUGACACGUGGGCUAAUGAUGAGCAAACAGAGAAUAUUGGCGCACACUCUCAGAUGAGGAUUUUUCUACAAAUAAUGGCAUGGGCAGAGAAUGGGGGGAGAGUUUUUUCUGUUAUGAAUAUUGUUAUUCUUUCUCUCAUCUUAUUCUCUCUGGGUUAUUUUCUUCUUUCUUUUAUUUUUCCAUGAAAGUAACAACACUUUUCCUUCCUUGACACAGAAUAUACUCAAUUUUUAC